UACGGAGAGGGCUAGCGUUAUUCGGAAUUAUUGGGCGUAAAGGGCGCGUAGGCUGGUUAAUAAGUUAAAAGUGAAAUCCCGAGGCUUAACCUUGGAAUUGCUUUUAAAACUAUUAAUCUAGAGAUUGAAAGAGGAUAGAGGAGUUCCUGAUGUAGAGGUAAAAUUCGUAAAUAUUAGGAGGAACACCAGUGGCGAAGGCGUCUAUCUGGUUCAAAUCUGACGCUGAAGCGCGAAGGCGUGGGGAGCAAACAGGAUUAGAUACCCUGGUAGUCCACGCUGUAAACGAUGAGUGCUAA
This 296-nucleotide ribosomal RNA is filed under the name Wolbachia pipientis. Its description in RNAcentral is "partial 16S ribosomal RNA". It matches the Rfam family "Bacterial small subunit ribosomal RNA", at positions 524 to 819 of the family's 1533-position model. Lineage: Bacteria; Pseudomonadati; Pseudomonadota; Alphaproteobacteria; Rickettsiales; Anaplasmataceae. The record is from RNAcentral.